UCCCUGGUGGUCCAGUGGUUAAAACUUCACACUUUGACUGCAGGGGGCCCAGGUUCUAUCCCUGGUCAGGGAA
Molecule: transfer RNA, 73 nt
Filed under: Bos taurus (domestic cattle)
Lineage: Eukaryota; Metazoa; Chordata; Mammalia; Artiodactyla; Bovidae
Also listed under: 2 other names
Rfam family: tRNA
About the family: Transfer RNA (tRNA) molecules are approximately 80 nucleotides in length.
Source: Rfam by way of RNAcentral